This 131-nucleotide non-coding RNA is filed under the name Guillardia theta. The record is from RNAcentral. Lineage: Eukaryota; Cryptophyceae; Pyrenomonadales; Geminigeraceae.
AGUAGAAGGAAAUUAAAAAGGAAUAAAACAAACACGAGAUUACGCUGAAAAAUUCAUACACUACAGUUAUCAACGUUUUUCUUGUUCAGUAGUACUUCACUUGUUUUCCUUCCUUGAACUCCUUGAGCUUU